This 467-nucleotide ribosomal RNA is filed under the name uncultured bacterium. Its description in RNAcentral is "partial 16S ribosomal RNA". It matches the Rfam family "Bacterial small subunit ribosomal RNA", at positions 28 to 507 of the family's 1533-position model. The record is from RNAcentral.
GACGAACGCUGGCGGCGUGCUUAACACAUGCAAGUCGAACGGAAAGGCCUCUUUCGGGGGGUACUCGAGUGGCGAACGGGUGAGUAACACGUGAGUAACCUGCCCUUGACUUUGGGAUAACUUCGGGAAACUGGGGCUAAUACCGGAUAGGAGCUCCUGCUGCAUGGUGGGGGUUGGAAAGUUUCGGCGGUUGGGGAUGGACUCGCGGCUUAUCAGCUUGUUGGUGGGGUAGUGGCUUACCAAGGCUUUGACGGGUAGCCGGCCUGAGAGGGUGACCGGCCACAUUGGGACUGAGAUACGGCCCAGACUCCUACGGGAGGCAGCAGUGGGGAAUAUUGCACAAUGGGUGGAAGCCUGAUGCAGCAACGCCGUGUGCGGGAUGACGGCCUUCGGGUUGUAAACCGCUUUCGCUCAUGACGAAGCUUUGUGUGACGGUAGUGGGUAAAGAAGCACCGGCUAACUACGUG